RNAcentral lists this ribosomal RNA (347 nucleotides) under uncultured bacterium. Its description in RNAcentral is "bacterial SSU rRNA". It matches the Rfam family "Bacterial small subunit ribosomal RNA", at positions 29 to 399 of the family's 1533-position model. The record is from RNAcentral.
AACGAACGCUGGCGGCAUGCCUAACACAUGCAAGUCGAGCGCCCGUAGCAAUACGGGAAGCGGCGCACGGAUGAGUAACGCGUGGGAACCUGCCCAGAGGUCUGGGACAACCGCGGGAAACUGCGGCUGAUACCGGAUGAUUCCUGAGGGACAAAGAUUUAUUGCCUUUGGAGGGGCCCGCGUCGGAUUAGGUAGUUGGUGGGGUAACGGCUCACCAAGCCUAUGAUCCGUAACUGGUCUGAGAGGAUGACCAGUCACACUGGGACUGAGACACGGCCCAGACUCCUACGGGAGGCAGCAGUGGGGAGUAUUGGACAAUGGGGGGCAACCCUGAUCCAGCAAUGCCG